This 465-nucleotide ribosomal RNA is filed under the name uncultured bacterium. RNAcentral's name for it is "partial 16S ribosomal RNA". It matches the Rfam family "Bacterial small subunit ribosomal RNA", at positions 338 to 795 of the family's 1533-position model. The record is from RNAcentral.
CCUACGGGUGGCAGCAGUAGGGAAUCUUUCACAAUGGGCGAAAGCCUGCUGGAGCAACGCCGCGUGGGUGAAGAAGGUCUUCGGAUCGUAAAACCCUGUUGUUAGAGAAGAAAGUGCGUGAGAGUAACUGUUCACGUUUCGACGGUAUCUAACCAGAAAGCCACGGCUAACUACGUCCCAGCAGCCGCGGUAAUACGUAGGUGGCAAGCGUUAUCCGGAUUUAUUGGGCGUAAAGGGAACGCAGGCGGUCUUUUAAGUCUGAUGUGAAAGCAGUCGGCUUAACCGGAGUAGUGCAUUGGAAACUGGGAGAAUUGAGUGCAGGAGAGGAGAGUGGAACUGCAUGUGUAGCGGUGAAAUGCGUAGAUAUAUGGAAGAACACCAGUGGCGAACGCGGCUCUCUGGUCUGUAACUGACGCGGAGGUUCGAAAGCGUGGGUAGCAAACAGGAUUAGAUACCCCAGUAGUC